This 1674-nucleotide ribosomal RNA is filed under the name Triticum aestivum (bread wheat). Its description in RNAcentral is "partial small subunit ribosomal RNA". The record is from RNAcentral. Lineage: Eukaryota; Viridiplantae; Streptophyta; Magnoliopsida; Poales; Poaceae.
AUGGCUAAGAUCCGGGAGAGGAAGACGAGGGAUAUUGGCCAAGUCAAAUGCAUCAAGGACGGAGCAGGCCAACUCUUGAUGAAGGACGAAGAGAUUAAGCAUAGAUGGCAGGAGUACUUCGACAAGCUGUUCAAUGGGGAGAAUGAGAGUUCUACCAUUGAACUGAAUGACUCCUUUGAUGAGACCAGCAUGCGUUUUGUGCGGCGCAUCCAGGAGUCUGAGGUGAAGGAGGCUUUAAAAAGAAUGAAAGGAGGCAAGGCGAUGGGCCCUGAUUGUAUCCCCAUUGAGGUGUGGAAAGGUCUCGGGGACAUAGCGAUAGUAUGGCUAACCAAGCUUUUCAACCUCAUUUUUCGGGCAAACAAGAUGCCAGAAGAAUGGAGACGGAGUAUAUUAGUACCAAUCUUCAAGAACAAGGGAGAUGUUCAGAGUUGUACUAAUUACCAUGGAAUUAAGCUGAUGAGCCAUACAAUGAAGCUAUGGGAGAGAGUCAUUGAGCACCGCUUAAGAAGAAUGACAAGCGUGACAAAAAAUCAGUUUGGUUUCAUGCCUGGGAGGUCGACCAUGGAAGCCAUUUUCUUGGUACGACAACUUAUGGAGAGAUAUAGGGAGCAUAAGAAGGACUUGCAUAUGGUGUUCAUUGACUUGGAGAAGGCCUAUGAUAAGAUACCGCGGAAUGUCAUGUGGUGGGCCUUGGAGAAACACAAAGUCCCAACAAAGUACAUUACCCUCAUCAAGGACAUGUACAAUAAUGUUGUGACAAGUGUUCGAACAAGUGAUGUCGACACCGAUGACUUCCCGAUUAAGAUAGGACUGCAUCAGGGGUCAGCUUUGAGCCCUUAUCUUUUUGCAUUGGUGAUGGAUGAGGUCACAAGAGGUAUACAAGGAGAUAUCCCAUGGUGUAUGCUCUUUGCGGAUGAUGUGGUGCUAGUUGACGAUAGUCGGACGGGGGUAAAUAGGAAGUUAGAGUUAUGGAGACAAACCUUGGAAUCGAAAGGGUUUAGGCUUAGUAGAACUAAAACCGAGUACAUGAUGUGCGGUUUCAGUACUACUAGCUGUGAGGAGGAGGAGGUUAGCCUUGAUGGCCAGGUGGUACCUCGGAAGGACACCUUUCGGUAUUUGGGGUCAAUGUUGCAGGAGGAUGGGGGUAUUGAUGAAGAUGUGAACCAUCGAAUCAAAGCCGGAUGGAUGAAGUGGCGCCAAGCUUCUGGCAUUCUCUGUGACAAGAGAGUGCCACAAAAGCUAAAAGGCAAGUUCUACAGGACGGCGGUUCGACCCGCAAUGUUGUAUGGAGCGGAGUGUUGGCCGACUAAAAGGCGACAUGUUCAACAGUUAGGUGUGGCGGAGAUGCGUAUGUUGAGAUGGAUGUGUGGCCACACGAGGAAGGAUCGAGUCCGGAAUGAUGAUAUACGAGAUAGAGUUGGGGUAGCACCAAUUGAGGAGAAGCUUGUCCAACAUCGUUCGAGAUGGUUUGGGCAUAUUCAGCGCAGGCCUCCAGAAGCUCCAGUGCAUAGCGGACGGCUAAAGCGUGCGGAGAAUGUCAAGAGAGGGCGGGGUCGACCGAUUUUGACAUGGAAGGAGUCCGUUAAGAGAGACCUGAAGGAUUGGAGUAUCGACAAAGAGCUAGCUAUGGACAGGGGUGCGUGGAAGCUUGCUAUCCAUAUGCCAGAGCCAUGA